Molecule: long non-coding RNA, 1645 nt
Organism: Oreochromis niloticus (Nile tilapia)
Lineage: Eukaryota; Metazoa; Chordata; Actinopteri; Cichliformes; Cichlidae
Exons: 3
Source: RefSeq, a predicted model, not a curated record
UCUCUGGUUGUACUGUGGCUUUUUGGGGCAGGGAGACAGAGUGAACUAUAAAGGGUUUUAUACAAGCUGAGGAGUGGAGUUAAACUGGAAGGCAGUCUGCAUGUUUGUAUGGAAACAAUUCUUUCAUGAGUUGCAAUUCUGUUUGAUUCCAGAUGUAAAAAGCCACAGGGAGAGAAAGAUGCAUAUGAGUCUUGACACCUAAAUCCAGGAUGAUGCUGCACUUGAAGUGCUAUCCUAACCUCACCGAAAAGACUACAUUUAGCAAAAGUAUUCUCUGUGCAUUUCUUUUCCUAAGCAAUAAUGAUUCUGAACAAGCAGGAUAGAAAUUCUUCCAGUUAUAUUAAAGGAUCCACAUACUUUUUUGGGGAAGAAAAGAUUUUCCCACACAACCAUCUCUGGGGAUUAAAAAGAGGAACAUAUGCAGUGAGCAGCAGUCCUUUGAGUAAAAAUGCCUUGUUGAUGUCAGAGGUCAGAGGAGAAUGGCGAGACUGCUUCAAGAUAAUAGGAAAGCAGAAAUAACUCAAAUAACCACUCAUAUCAACCAAGGUGUGUAGAAAGACAUCUCUGAAUAACACAUUGAAUCCUGUAGCAGAUGGUCUACAACAGCAGAAGACUACAUCAGGUCCCACUCCUGUCAACUAAGACAGCACAGGCUCACCAAAAUUGGAAAUUAGAAGACUGGAAAAACAAUAUGAGCAACAUUCAGAAGUUCUUGACAGGGAAGCACGUUUUCUUUCUGGCUGCUUCUCUGUGGUCUGACCAGAAACUAACUCAUCCUUAUUCUAGAAAGUGAACCACAACAUGUGGCAACAGAGCCCACAAACAUGAGCUCAUUCCUCUUGAGGGAAACUAGCAACUGAAAAAAACAGAGAUAGAAAGAGAGAAAGUCCCAGUGUUCCUCUCCACAUCCAUUUGUCUUUGGACUACAUUCCUGCUCCUCUUCCUCAAAUGAAAUGGUUAUCCCUGCAAACAAUGAGAAGACUGAGCUGCAGGAGCAUCUGCAGCAUGUGAAGUGGGACAUGAAACAAAAAUUGGCUCACAAGGUCGAGGUCAACUUCAGCAUCAGCACAUUCUUUGAGCCAAGGCGUUGGAGAGAAAGCAGGCACGAACUGAAAAUGGCCCUAGUCUCUUCCUAACAUGCUUUUAUUUCCCACAUACUUUGUGAUCAGCAGGCCUCAGUAUGUUAUCGGGUAAUACUGAGACAAACAGCUGCUUACGUGCUGAAAUGUGGAUGUAUUAUUUGAGUAAAGCAAUAAAAAAUAAAGCUUCAUGCUUUGCUCUGGAAUGUCAGGUUUCAAAUUGCAUGUACCUGAUAUUGCCUUGCCAUGCCAUGCCAGAGAUAUAAGAUUGUGUGUAACUGUAAAAUAAAAUGACUAUUAUUUAUUUGCAAUAAAAUAACAUAAAACACACACCAAAGUACACACAGGACUUUUUAUUAGUAAGUUACAAUGCGGACACAUGCACUGCCAAGGACAUUUAAAAAAAAUAAUACUAUGACAUUUCAUCAUGUUUCAGUUAAACAAGUUAAGAAUCAAGCAGUUAAGUAAGAAAAGAUUUUUUCUGUUUAUAACAAUUAGAACAUGUAUGAUUGAACACAGAAGAAACAUGCACUUUACUGCACUGCAACAUAGAAAAUUAUCCUAAG